GGGCAUGUCUUCUAAUGGUCAGGAAGCUUGACUGAUAUUCAAGUAAUGAAGGUUCGAGUCCUUACUUGCCCA
Molecule: transfer RNA, 72 nt
Filed under: Crassvirales sp.
Lineage: Duplodnaviria; Heunggongvirae; Uroviricota; Caudoviricetes; Crassvirales
Description: tRNA-Ile
Rfam family: tRNA
About the family: Transfer RNA (tRNA) molecules are approximately 80 nucleotides in length. Their secondary structure includes four short double-helical elements and three loops (D, anti-codon, and T loops).
Source: RNAcentral